This 367-nucleotide ribosomal RNA is filed under the name uncultured bacterium. RNAcentral describes it as "partial 16S ribosomal RNA". It matches the Rfam family "Bacterial small subunit ribosomal RNA", at positions 355 to 737 of the family's 1533-position model. The record is from RNAcentral.
UGGGGAAUAUUGCACAAUGGGGGAAACCCUGAUGCAGCAACGCCGCGUGAGUGAUGAAGGCCUUCGGGUUGUAAAGCUCUGUCUUUUGGGGGACGAUUAUGACGGUACCCAAGGAGGAAGCCACGGCUAACUACGUGCCAGCAGCCGCGGUAAAUCGUAGGUGGCAAGCGUUGUCCGGAUUUACUGGGCGUAAAGGAUGCGUAGGCGGAUAUUUAAGUGAGAUGUGAAAUACCCGGGCUCAACUUGGGUGCUGCAUUUCAAACUGGAUAUCUAGAGUGCAGGAGAGGAAAGUGGAAUUCCUAGUGUAGCGGUGAAAUGCGUAGAGAUUAGGAAGAACAUCAGUGGCGAAGGCGACUUUCUGGACUGU